Gallus gallus (chicken) is the source of this 7977-nucleotide long non-coding RNA. The record is from Ensembl. Lineage: Eukaryota; Metazoa; Chordata; Aves; Galliformes; Phasianidae.
AAUCAAUUACUAGUAUUUAUUUAAUGAUUCAUACUCAGAGAAAAAGUCAACUUUUGGAAUUUUUUAAGUUCUAAAAUAUAAAUCAUGCAGAUCAUCAUUUCCACAUCACUUUUUUUUUUUUCUUUUUUUUAAUCUUGCAUUGGAAAGUGUUUCUUUCUUCUCAGUUCAAAGAACAAACCAAUACACAAUUAUUUUACUCCAAAUCACCAAAAUCCACUAAUUUCAACAUGACAUUAUUUUUACAUAAGCAAAACAGCUUUCACUUAAAGUUUCUAAAAAGAAAGCUUUAAAACAGGUAGCUAUUAUUCUUAUCUGCUGAUCAUAAAAUAAUUAUAGUUCAGGUCAAUCUCUCUACAACAAAUGAAGAUUUAUUCAGAGUAUUGAAGAAGCCUAUUGAAAAUUUGUUUUGAAUUAAAUGCAUCAGUAGCAUUUGCUGAACACAAGCCUUUACAAAAAAACUAUACCCCAAGGAUACAUGUUUUUGUUGUUUUGUUUUUUUUCCUGCUGAGGCUGAAUCAUCCGGUGUAUGGGAAUUGGUAGGUCAUGGCCUGAAGCAGUGACUGAGCACCAGGUGAGAAGGCGUGCCUAAUCCAGGGAGCUCAGGUGCAAACAAACCUCACCCUCCAUGAGGGUUAGCAGCCAAGAGAGAAGUAUUUCUAUUUGGAGACUGUGCCCUUCUCAAGACUUUGCCACCUUCAGAAAGGCACUCCCUAUGUGGCUUAUGCAUCUGUGGUGAUUCAAGACCUUGGCCUCUGCAUUCAAGAGAAAUAGCUUGCCCUUCUGACUUUGCCAAGUCAAAAUGAGAAGUUACCAGCUGAGCAGAAAAGACCUGAAGGCUUCCACGGUACAAAGAGACAGGAGAAGGACUGUACUAGUCACCCUGAGCAAGAGUCUGCAUCUGCUGAUUGAAUGACUUGUUUAGAAAUGUGAAGAUUACUCUGUCUGAUGGAGAUGUGGCAAAAUGGUGGAUUUUUUUCUGAAGCAUGUAAAAAAAAAAAAAAGAAGAAAGAAAAAAAGAAAAAAGGAUAAAACCCGUUGUCUUAACAUCAAGGAAAAUCACUGCUUAAAAUUACUGCCACUAUAUGACUUGAGGAUCUCUCGAGGUCCCUUCCAACCUCUGCAAUUCUGGGAUUCUUUAAUUUGUUUCGUAUGAUAGGCACCUGUCACUUUAAGUAUAUAUGGAAGAAAUAACCUUAAAAUAAUUAUAAGGAGGUCAAGAGUUAUGCAAUUUUCUUGAAAACAGAAUUGCAUUGUAUAUUCUGUAUCAGUCUUUGUUAUAGGUCAUGUUUUGGCUGCCAGUUGUGUUAAUCAACUCCAACCUACCUAAAUAUUUCUCUGUGAUAUUAUUAAUUCUGAGGUCAUUGUCAUUCUGCAAGUGAACUCCAAUACUUUCUCAUUCUUAAAUAGCAUGUAUCAUAGAAACAAUUCCAUUGUUCUAGUUCAAUACACUCAGCUCUAUUGCCUGCUAUAUGUUGGUUGGAAAAAUUUUAUUGGAACAAGCUUUUAGUGUAGAAGAUCUGAAAACAUAUUUUCAUCAAUAUUUUAGUGAAAACGUUCUUUCAAUUUUUGAAAUGGUUCUGUUUUCUGUAAUCUAUAUACCUGCUGUUAUUAAUCCUCACCGAGUAUACCAAACACCAAAAACACUAGCUAGCAUUCAUUCCACUCUGAGACUUCCAUCUAAUUUAGAUUACUCUUUAAAGUACAUCAUCAUCCCCUUUUUUCUUGUAAUUCCAGCUAUAUCUGAUGUCUUAUCAAACAGUGUUAUUGAACUGAAAACUUGCAAGGCUUGUAAUACUAUAUCAAAUAUGCUCUGAGGGAGUUUCUCAGUCUGAUACUGUGCUGUCAAAUGCAACUACUUAUAGUUUUACACUUGCUGAAGUUAGAAUUAGACCUUCUGGUGCAAUUGGAGAUGAUGAGUAAACUCCUGACAACCAGUAGAGGUAAGAAUGAGAUUAUGGAGAUAAGCGAACUGGAUGGGAGGUGUCUUGGAAGCAUGUCACUUCCCUUUUACUAAAUUCUGAAGGGGAUGACAGCUAAUUGAUUGCCUUUUGAGAGAAGUAAAACAAGGAAAAGAUUGAUCUUCUGUUUCCUGAAUGUGAGAGAAAGUUGUAGUGCUUGUUCUGGUAAGGAAGAAGCAAAUGGUCAUUCUUCCAAGGAAACCAGGUAUGAGGCAUGAGGAAGGAAAGCAUAAGAGGACAGAGUGUCAGUGCUUAUGAAAACUGACAGAUGUGAACCACAGUGUUGUGAAAAUGAGAGAAUGACCCAAGUCUCAGUGUGUAUAAGAUCAGUAUAUACCUCCACUUAGUUAAACAUCAGUGCUUUUGAAAUAUUUCUCUCCCCUCUGCUUUUCCAUUUGUUUGCAGUUAUAAAUCAUGGAUUCUGCUUCUGUACCUGAGUGAAAUGAGGAUCUACGUGUCUAUAUAAGUGCCAUUAUGUUGGUUCACAGAACUGUAAGAAAAAGAAAUCCUGAUGAAAUGAAACUUCAGAGUCCACCAGAGCAGUUCUGAUAUGCAAGUCAUACCUUGUCAUACAUUAUUAUAUUAUCAUUUUGCAAAAUACAAACAAAAGACAGUGGCAUUUCAGUUUGAUUUUACAUGAAAUGAGCAGGCAGGCUGGAAAACAGACUGAUGAAAAACAAGCGAAAACAAAAGAAACAACGGUGGGAAAGAUUUGAAAAGGCAAGGCAUAAAAAUCUAUAAAUAUGAAAUGUAAUGAAAAGAUAUAUUACAAGGUAAUACAGAAGACACAGUAGGAAAACUGACUUUUUCCCUAUAUCUCACAAAAUUCCACACAACAGGUCCUCUAGCCCCAGGUGAUAAAACUAAUGCUCAGUUUCAAGCAGAUAAUAUUCCCUAAUGCAGACAGCAUUUCAGCUACAUUCUUGUCCAGCUAUCCAUGUUCAUGUUGUCUAUUUUAUCUCUUGUCACAUCCUGUGUGCUAUAACAAGAAUUCUGAACCAUAUAAAUUCAAUACAAUUAUUUCCAAAUGUUGCUGAGAUAUCCACUUUGUUCCACUCUCUCAGAGCAUUAUUGCCCUGUCCACAGCUUGCUGCCUUUCUAAUAUCUGAUCUGCCUAAAUUUGUACCUCCUAUCUCUCAUGAUUUCAGAACUUUUGAGUGAUUUUCUUGUUCCUGGUUCCCUGGCUUUUUCUUCUCCGUUCUCCCUGUCAAAGUAUGAUAUGCAGUGCUUGGAUUCUUCCCUCUUGCAUCUGUUCUUACCUGGCAGCUCAUCUGGGGCUUGUGGUUUCUGACCUCAAUAGAAGAACUGACAUCUCUCUUCUUGGUUUGGGAAAGAGCAAAAUUUCUUUAUUAGAUUCUUCUUCCUAAGGGAAUGGAGCUUAUAUUAUUAUGUUGUCUGCACCUGUCAAGAGCCAUCCCUUCCCCCACCCUCUGAAUCAAUACGCCUAUUUCAAUCACAUUGCCUAUUUCAACCAAAUCUGACACAGGGUAGAAAUUAAGUUUUCCUAAGUUUCACGACAGUAGGAAUUUAGGUAGACAAAGAUCAUCUUGCAGAUGCCUAAAUUGAAGGCGCCUCUAACCUCUCUUAUUGUAUAUAGGAGAAUCUAUACUGAAAGUAGUUUAAUCAAUGGCCAAGCAGUAGAGAUGCUUAUACCAGCACAAUCAGUUCUUUCUUAUAUGGCUGGGUCAAUCAAUUCUGACACAUAAAUCUAUGCAGCAUCGCUAUUAUGCUUACCAAUGCUCAAACAAAUUCCUGCCUAUUUUUAAUAAAAACAGUAACUCUCCAGCAUCAGCUUUUCCCUUUGCCCUGAACAUCACAGGUGGAAUUCAGGUAAGUGUCACCCCAGGCCUCUGCUGCAAACUUGGGGAAAAUGGCCCACAGUUUCAGAGGAUCAGAUAUGGAUCUAGGCUACCCAUUUAAAUAAAAGUAGCAGUGGCUUGCCAGGAAAUAAUUGUGCACAUUGGGAAUUUUUUUUCUUUUUUAGCAGAUGAAGUACAAGUAGUUCAGCAUAUCUGUAAGCAAAACAAAUUACAAAGGUUCCCCUGCAGCAUAUGUUUCACUUUUCCUUUCAAAAAAAGCAUAAUAUGUUUAUGAAAUUAGGGUACUCCCCCAAAGGGCCUUGAAUAAUGAUAAGAUAUAUGAAAUAUAACUACUGUAGGCUUUGAAACCAGUGUUGCAGAGAUAAGGAUUUAGCAAGGAUGUAGCUCAGUCAAACCUGAUUAAUUUGUGCCUGGUUGUGCCUAAGCAACCAAAACAUUUCACUGGCAGGCAGAGCAAAUGACAAGCACUGUAUGUGCCACUGCAUUAUUAGUCUAGAGGGGAUAUUUUUUAAUAUUUAUAAAAAUACUUUGCAGACUGAUUUACCCUAACUAGGUCUAUCUGUAUUACCAUUAUCUUAUCACAUCCUACAGUGAUAUAAAACAUCAAAACUGAAUUAAUCAUAAUAUGACAUAAAAAAGAAAAAAAAAGUAGAAACUACUGUGCUGUCUUAAAACACUGGAGAUAACAAAUUGAAUUUAUGGUUGUUGGUUGAGAAGAUAACAAAGACAUUGUAAUAAAAAUCUGUCAAUAAACAUCAAAACAUUUUUUAAGAUUUCUGUGCUCUUUUCUUACAAACAUUUAAAGAAUUCAGCCUUCACUGAAAACAUGGAGUUUGGAACAGAGUUACAUUUAAUAGGAAUUGACAAGCUUGGUGACUUUUUAGCAACCUAAGAAGUUAAGAAUUGAAAUUGGAAACAGAGACAUGACACCAACCACCUCUUGCAUCUUUAGAAACUUGUGACAUUACAGCACAAACAAUAGAAUCACCAGGGUUGUAAAUGACCUUUAAAAUCAUCCCGUACAACUAUCUGUAUAUCAUCAAUAUUUCCCACUAAACCAUGUCCCUCAGUAGAACUUCUAAACAUUUCUUGAACACCUCCCUGGGUAGCCCAUUCCAGUACCUGGCCACUCUCUUGGAGUAUUUCCCAAAGUCCAGUGGGAAUCUCCCCUUGUGCAACUUGGGGCAUUCCCUCUAGUCUUAUUGCUAGUUACGUGGAAGAAAAGUUGUAGAAAACAAGAGUUACAUUUCUGAUUGAAAAGAAUCAGUAGAAAUCAGAUGCUGUUCGGGUGUAGAGAAAGCACUGGCAAAAACAAUAAUUUUUCCUGUUGUUGAAAUAUUUAAAUCCUUUUUUGUACAUCUCUUCAUUUUCCCUCACAUACAAAGAAGAAGAUUGAAGACAGGUUUAGAUCAAACUAGAAGAUGGUCAAGGACUUAUCUAAAGCACUUCAAUAUGAAAGUGUCUAGAAUACUAGAACUAUCUAGGGAGAUAGAAAAACUUCAAAUAUUGACUUGCCUUUGGAUUGGCUUAUAUUCAUUCCUUACAAUAAAUCUGACUUAAACUUAAUACUUUUCAGGAAACACUAAGACUUUCUUGACUUGCAGCUGACUUCAAGAAACAUGGGGAAAAUGCAUUUUAAAAAAGCAUCAGUUGAGAACAGAAACAGAUUUUGAAGGAUAUUUCUAAAAUUACUUUCACUUGGUACUAUACAUCCACUGAUAAAACUUGAGAUUUUUAAGUUCAAAAGAUCUGACCUUGGCUACUGGAUGCCAGCUACAUAACUGACAGUUGAGUGUAAUGGUAAUUGAGUCUACUGGUGAGGUCUUCAAAAAGAGAUUGUGGUAAUAAACUCUUUUUCAGAUAGCUAGUACAAAUUUAUGGUCAGCUUGAGAAGGGGGAAAGGGUAAGGAUAACAGCAAUGUUGGACAAACAUGAAGGGAUCUGGGACAUAGAAAUAAAUACAGUAUUACAGAAAAGGCUGCUGCUCUGAGAAUCAAUAUGAUAUUAAUCCAUCUUAUAGUCAUAGGAAAAUAGAAUUUAUUGAAUUUCAGAGGACAAAUCUGGUGAAGAACAGAGUACUCAUCCCUGGAGGUUUUCCAGAAAUGUUUGGACAGGAUACUAAUGGAUGUGGUCUAGUGAAGGAACUUGGUAGGUCAGGUUAAUGGUUUGACUUGAUGAUCUUGAAGAUCUUUUCCUACCUAGAUGGUACUGUGAUUGUAUAAAAUAGUAAAUUGACUUUAAUUUGCAUUUGCUAACUAAUCAGAGGUGAUAAGGUCUUGAAAUUUCAAAUGUCAAAAUGUACUUGACUUCAUGACGUAUAAACUGUUCUGUUUUUAGUGUAAAAAUAAUUCUAACUUCAGAAGGAUUACAAAAAACAGCUUAGAUCAUGUCUUUGCUGAACUGAAGUUUUAUGUUUUUUUCUUUUUCCUUUAGGCUAAAGUAUUAGAGCUAUCCUUUGUGUGACAGAAGACAAAGAACAUAGGUUUUGCCGUAACAUAGAUUAGAAAAGGUUGAAAUGUUGACCAUAAUGAUUCACCACCUUGCAACAUUGCAGUGUACCUUUUUUUCCUGCAUUUUCACCAUAUUGUUUUCUAACCACAGAAUAUCUUAUGAUUACCUCAGGUGAAAAUUUUUACAUUCCUGGUGAUGAGAAGAGACCACAGGAACUCAGAGAAGUAAGAAGCAUCUGACCUAUUCAUCUGAAAAUUGAACUAAAGUGCAUUCAGUAUUCAGUGGGACAAUGGCCUCAGUCACAGGGAGAUUUUUUGCAACACUAAAAGGAUUGUGAACAAAAGACAGCAAAGGCAGAUUGAGCAAUGGUUCAGGGAAAUUGUGUGGGCAGGAAAUACAUUGAAGAGAAAUUCUAGGUAUCCGCAUGCUUAAGCUUUAGGCUGAAAUAUGCCUGGAGAACACUUUGUUUGUUUUGAAUAUUUAAUCUUUGCUUCUAUUGAAAGUUCUAACAAUAAAAAAAUAUACAAAAUCUAGAUAAAGGCAGAUUAAGUUAAUUCAUUAUUGCAGUUUAAGAUAAAUCAUCCUUUUUUUGUUCUGCAAGGCCUUAUAGUUUCUUCUACACAAGAAAUAAAACAGAGCUUAGUAUCACUGUACCACUGUAAAAGUUAUAUAUAAGGUUUUACAUUAGCAGACCUAGGAUCUGAAGUGUCCUUCUCAUGUUAUUGCCACUGUAGACUUCUCAGAGCCCAUUAUUCUGGGAGUCACAGAAUCACGGAAUGGGUGAGGUUGGCAGGGAUCUCUGGGUCCAUCUGCCCCAACCCCUGCCUGUGUGGGGACACCCAGAGCAGGAUGCCUGGGCUCAUGUUAAGGCAUCUUCUGAAGAAUUGUAACUCCACAACCUCUAUGGGAAUCCUGUGCCAGUGCUCAGUCCCCCUCACAGAGAAAAAGUACUUUCUGUCUUUUAUUCUCUGGAAAAGAUCAGAGCACCAAGAAUUUACUAAUAUUUUUUGCAAUAUUUCAGUACAUUCUAAAGAAUAAACUACCGAGUUUGCCUAAUUGUCCACUUUAAUAUGUCUUAAUAAUAUCAGGAGCAGGAAGGCUUUCCUCCACAGGCAUAGUUGAUAAAACCUCUUCAAGAACAGCACCUCAGUUUCCUGGGCCUAAACUCGUCCAUGUGUUGCAACUUGCUGUGUUGCAUUCCAUCUGCAGGCAAAUGCUGGCAAAACUGUGACUUUUGCCAACAUCAAAGAACAGGUGAGCCCAGAUUUCUUUCCAGGCUUAUUCACAGAUUCCUACUAUUUAACCACAGUCUGAGAUCAUGAUUUCUGGUUAAAUACAAAGCUAGGAAUAUUUCACAGGCUGUCAGUUUCUUUCAAAAGCAUUACUCUUGGCUCUCAUAAGCAUAUUAUGAAUCAAUAUUUUCAGGGCUUGGGCAAACUGUACUGAUAAUACUGCAAAUAAACAAAUCCCUCUAACAUUAAUUUUUAAUACAAGAACAUAAACAGAACCACCUACUCUGGCUCUUGCAAGCCCACCCUUUCCACAGGGACACUGAAGAAUCACAGAUUUUAAAAGUGUCCUACUGCUGCCAUCUGGCCGCCAGCCUCCUGCUGAUCCCAAUUGGCACUUACAGCAGCAGCAGUCAGGAAAGGAGCAGCUUCCACAAGUGCUGAUUUAGUGCCUUAGGAGACAGAUUGGUCGUGACUGAGGGUAAAAGGAUUUUGAAACACAGUAGAAAAAGAGAAGGG